This 257-nucleotide long non-coding RNA is filed under the name Hordeum vulgare. Its description in RNAcentral is "long non-coding RNA (HVUL_LNC004525)". Lineage: Eukaryota; Viridiplantae; Streptophyta; Magnoliopsida; Poales; Poaceae. The record is from RNAcentral.
AUUUUUCUUUUGCUUAGCAAUGCAUGUUUCCUUUUUCUGUGUUUUCAAGAUUCAUUGCCUUGACUUUUCUUGUCGCCUCUUUUUUGCUUUGUGGUCUGUGUCACAGGUGGCUCUGCUCGCCGCUCGAACCCCCCACGGGACACGGCAUCCAAACAGCUUCGCAACACAGAGGUGCCCGAGGGGUCUGCCACGUCUGGUCUGCCUCGCAAGAUUAAGACCUUCAAGAAGGUCGCUCACAAGGAGAAGAGGGUCAAUAU